This 468-nucleotide ribosomal RNA is filed under the name uncultured bacterium. Its description in RNAcentral is "partial 16S ribosomal RNA". It matches the Rfam family "Bacterial small subunit ribosomal RNA", at positions 28 to 507 of the family's 1533-position model. The record is from RNAcentral.
GACGAACGCUGGCGGCGUGCUUAACACAUGCAAGUCGAACGGAAAGGCGCUGCUCUUGUUGGGUGCUCGAGUGGCGAACGGGUGAGUAACACGUGAGUAACCUGCCCUUGACUUUGGGAUAACUCCAGGAAACUGGGGCGCAUACCGGGUAGAAGCUCCUGCUGCAUGUGGGGGGUUGGAAAGUUUCGGCGGUUGGGGCUGGUCUCGCGGGUUAUCAGCUUGUUGGUGGGGUAGGUGCUUACCAAGGCUUUGACGGGUAGCCGGCCUGAGAGGGUGACCGGGGACAUUGGGACUGAGAUACGGCCCAGACGCCUACGGGAGGCAGCAGGGGGGAAUAUUGCACAAUGGGCGGAAGCCUGAUGCAGCAACGCCGCGUGCGGGAUAACGGCCUUCGGGUGGUAAACCGCUUUCGCAGGUGACGAAGAGGGAGUGACGGUAAUGGGUAAAGAAGCACCGGCUAACUACGUG